RNAcentral lists this ribosomal RNA (483 nucleotides) under uncultured bacterium. RNAcentral's name for it is "partial 16S ribosomal RNA". It matches the Rfam family "Bacterial small subunit ribosomal RNA", at positions 28 to 507 of the family's 1533-position model. The record is from RNAcentral.
GAUGAACGCUGGCGGCGUGCCUAACACAUGCAAGUCGAACGAAGCUUGACGGAUGAUUUCUUCGGAAUGAAACCAGAUAUGACUUAGUGGCGGACGGGUGAGUAACACGUGAGCAACCUGCCUUUCAGAGGGGGAUAACGGCUGGAAACGGUCUCUAAUACCGCAUGAUGUGUUCGGAUGGCAUCAUCUGAACAUCAAAGAUUUAUCGCUGAAAGAUGGGCUCGCGUCUGAUUAGAUAGUUGGUGGGGUAACGGCCUACCAAGUCUACGAUCAGUAGCCGGACUGGGAGGUUGAACGGCCACAUUGGGACUGAGAUACGGCACAGGCUCCUACGGGAGGAAGAAGUGGGGAAUAUUGCACAAUGGGGGAAACCCUGAAGCAGCAACGCGGCGUGAAGGAUGACGGUUUUCGGAUUGUAAACUUCUUUGCUUAGUGACGAAGACAGUGACGGUAGCUAAGGAAUAAGCAUCGGCUAACUACGUG